RNAcentral lists this ribosomal RNA (497 nucleotides) under uncultured bacterium. Its description in RNAcentral is "partial 16S ribosomal RNA". It matches the Rfam family "Bacterial small subunit ribosomal RNA", at positions 28 to 507 of the family's 1533-position model. The record is from RNAcentral.
GAUGAACGCUGGCGGCGUGCCUAAUACAUGCAAGUCGAGCGAACGGACGAGAAGCUUGCUUCUCUGAUGUUAGCGGCGGACGGGUGAGUAACACGUGGAUAACCUACCUAUAAGACCGGGAUAACUUCGGGAAACCGGAGCUAAUACCGGAUAAUAUUUUGAACCGCAUGGUUCAAAAGUGAAAGACGGUCUUGCUGUCACUUAUAGAUGGAUCCGCGCUGCAUUAGCUAGUUGGUAAGGUAACGGCUUACCAAGGCAACGAUGCAUAGCCGACCUGAGAGGGUGAUCGGCCACACUGGAACUGAGACACGGUCCAGACUCCUACGGGAGGCAGCAGUAGGGAAUCUUCCGCAAUGGGCGAAAGCCUGACGGAGCAACGCCGCGUGAGUGAUGAAGGUCUUCGGAUCGUAAAACUCUGUUAUUAGGGAAGAACAUAUGUGUAAGUAACUGUGCACAUCUUGACGGUACCUAAUCAGAAAGCCACGGCUAGCUACGUG